Long non-coding RNA from Daphnia magna, 1238 nucleotides. RefSeq lists it as uncharacterized. The transcript is spliced from 2 exons. The record is from RefSeq and is a predicted model, not a curated record. NCBI's taxonomy places the organism in Eukaryota, Metazoa, Arthropoda, Branchiopoda, Diplostraca, Daphniidae.
UUUUAUUUUUGAGAGAUUGAAUUCAUAAUGUAUUCCUGAUGGUAUACCUGCAUCCAGCUUCAAUCAGAGUACUAUUUCUACAUUCUCGUAAAGCCCAUAAUUUUAACCGCAAUUGGAUCCCGUCAUCCUUACACACACGAUUCGUAAAGAAAGCAACUAUUACAACAUUUUUAUGUUGAAAUUUCAAAAAACGGGAACUUCGUUAUCAUUCAUCAAACAUCAAAAAAUUUUUGCUUUUCUGAAUCACUGCAUAUUUUAAAUUUCUAUAAUUAACAUCACAUUUUCGUUUCCCAAUGAAUAAUGUAACUUAUGUUUUCCUCAUAGUGCUGAGCAGUGGUGUACUGAGGCCCUGAGGGCGGCAUAGGACAACAAACACACAACAGCUGUUUGAGCAGCGCGCUGGUUUUGAGCAGUGACCUAGCUCUCUUAUGUGUCUCGAGAUUAGCUUCUUACCUUACGUGGCAAAGUUAAAGUUUCGAAAAUUUUCACUCUAUAUGAGGAAUAAUCUAAAGUAGUGUAUGCUGCAAACUGUAUUGUUAUCAAAACGGGUAAUUUUUUUAAGUUGUAACAACCAAAACAAAUCAGAAACAUAAAUGGUGUGAUAGAAGUUUUGUUUGGGUGCCAUGGCUCGUCAUUCUUUAACAUGUUGAGCAUGAAAAUCCAUGCUCCUGAAUGAAAAUGAUCUUACAGCCGAUUUGCGGUGACUGACGAUAUUGGUGUCUUAUUGUUUAGAGAUUGUACAACUAAAUACAACCAGUAUAGCAUCCAGGUGGGGUUUGUCUUGAACGUGACUUAAAAUGGGAAAUCCUGUUGGGUAAUUAAUUCAUAGUUUUCUAAAAGUCACCUGCAACUAACAAGGAACAGUAAACAAACCCUUCAAAAUUUUGUAAUAUACCUGGCAAAAAACAUAUAUUUUUAGGUUUGCUUUAAAAUACUCCACAUUCAAGGUAGCCACCGGGGUUCAAAUCUUCGAAUCUGGUUGUAUUGGCACAAGUUGCUCCAUUUGUAGCCUUGAGAAGAUUUGGAUUGUCACGAAUAAGCCACGCUAGUCCACAGUCACAAGAAAAGGGAUCUAAUGAUUUUGUGACAUAAGGGUUUAAUCUUUUGUGUAAACAUAACAUAUUUUGGCUUGUAAUGCUUUCUUACUGUUUGCAAGAUUGAUAGUGCCAGUGGAAUUUGCAAUGCCAGCCAUCUGGGUCAAAAUGGGCUUGAAAACCAAUGAAUCAAAGGAAACAAGA